GAUGAACGCUGGCGGCGUGCUUAACACAUGCAAGUCGAACGGAAAGGCCCAAGCUUGCUUGGGUACUCGAGUGGCGAACGGGUGAGUAACACGUGGGUGAUCUGCCCUGCACUUCGGGAUAAGCCUGGGAAACUGCGCCUAAUACCGGAUAGGAUCACUCCUAGGAUGUUGUGGUGGAAAGUUUUUUGGGUGUGGGAUGAGCUCGCGGCCUAUCAGCUUGUUGGGGGGGUAAUGUCCUACCAAGGCGUCGACGGGUAGCCGGCCAGUGAGGGUGUACGGCCGCAUUGGGACUGAGGUACGGCCCAGGCGCCUACGGGAGGCAGCAGUGGGGAAGAUUGCACAAUGGGCGCAAGCCUGAUGCAGCGACGCCGCGUGGGGGAUGACGGCCUUCGGGUUGUAAACUCCUUUCGCUAGGGACGAAGCGUUUUGUGACGGUACCUGGAGAAGAAGCACCGGCUAACUACGUG
RNAcentral lists this ribosomal RNA (467 nucleotides) under uncultured bacterium. RNAcentral's name for it is "partial 16S ribosomal RNA". It matches the Rfam family "Bacterial small subunit ribosomal RNA", at positions 28 to 507 of the family's 1533-position model. The record is from RNAcentral.